This 499-nucleotide ribosomal RNA is filed under the name Escherichia coli. Its description in RNAcentral is "partial 23S ribosomal RNA". It matches the Rfam family "Bacterial large subunit ribosomal RNA", at positions 741 to 1238 of the family's 2925-position model. Lineage: Bacteria; Pseudomonadati; Pseudomonadota; Gammaproteobacteria; Enterobacterales; Enterobacteriaceae. The record is from RNAcentral.
CAGGUUGAAGGUUGGGUAACACUAACUGGAGGACCGAACCGACUAAUGUUGAAAAAUUAGCGGAUGACUUGUGGCUGGGGGUGAAAGGCCAAUCAAACCGGGAGAUAGCUGGUUCUCCCCGAAAGCUAUUUAGGUAGCGCCUCGUGAAUUCAUCUCCGGGGGUAGAGCACUGUUUCGGCAAGGGGGUCAUCCCGACUUACCAACCCGAUGCAAACUGCGAAUACCGGAGAAUGUUAUCACGGGAGACACACGGCGGGUGCUAACGUCCGUCGUGAAGAGGGAAACAACCCAGACCGCCAGCUAAGGUCCCAAAGUCAUGGUUAAGUGGGAAACGAUGUGGGAAGGCCCAGACAGCCAGGAUGUUGGCUUAGAAGCAGCCAUCAUUUAAAGAAAGCGUAAUAGCUCACUGGUCGAGUCGGCCUGCGCGGAAGAUGUAACGGGGCUAAACCAUGCACCGAAGCUGCGGCAGCGACACUAUGUGUUGUUGGGUAGGGGAGCG